ACUCCUACGGGAGGCAGCAGUGGGGAAUAUUGCACAAUGGGGGAAACCCUGAUGCAGCCAUGCCGCGUGUGUGAAGAAGGCCUUGGGUUGUAAAGCACUUUCAGUAGGGAGGAAGGUAGUGUAGUUAACACCUGCAUUAUUUGACGUUACCUACAGAAGAAGCACCGGCUAACUCCGUGCCAGCAGCCGCGGUAAGUACGGAGGGUGCGAGCGUUAAUCGGAAUUACUGGGCGUAAAGCGCAUGCAGGCGGCUUGUUAAGUCAGAUGUGAAAGCCCGGGGUCUUAACCUCGGAAUUGCAUUUGAAACUGGCAGGCUAGAGUCUUGGUAGAGGGGUUAGAAUUUCAGGUGUAGCGGUGAAAUGCGUAGAGAUCUGAAGGAAUACCGAGUGGCGAACGGCGGCCCCUAGGACAAAGACUGACGCUCAGAUGCGAAAGCGUGGGAGCAAACAGGAUUACGAUA
RNAcentral lists this ribosomal RNA (460 nucleotides) under uncultured bacterium. RNAcentral's name for it is "bacterial SSU rRNA". It matches the Rfam family "Bacterial small subunit ribosomal RNA", at positions 335 to 784 of the family's 1533-position model. The record is from RNAcentral.